RNAcentral lists this microRNA precursor (103 nucleotides) under Marmota monax (woodchuck). Lineage: Eukaryota; Metazoa; Chordata; Mammalia; Rodentia; Sciuridae. The record is from RNAcentral.
AGUGAGAUAGCUGGGUUAUAUGGUAGUUCCAUCCCUAGUUUUUUGAGGAAUCUCCAUACUACUUUCCAGAGCAGUUGUAUUAGUCUACAGUCCCACUAGCAAU